This 75-nucleotide transfer RNA is filed under the name Haloplanus rubicundus. RNAcentral describes it as "Haloplanus sp. CBA1112 tRNA-Asn". It matches the Rfam family "tRNA". From Rfam's summary of the family: Transfer RNA (tRNA) molecules are approximately 80 nucleotides in length. Their secondary structure includes four short double-helical elements and three loops (D, anti-codon, and T loops). The record is from RNAcentral. Lineage: Archaea; Methanobacteriati; Methanobacteriota; Halobacteria; Halobacteriales; Haloferacaceae.
CUGCCCGUAACUCAGCCAGGUCAGAGUGUCCGGCCGUUAACCGGAAGGUCGUGAGUUCAAAUCUCACCGGGCACA